Molecule: ribosomal RNA, 194 nt
Filed under: uncultured bacterium
Lineage: Bacteria
Description: partial 16S ribosomal RNA
Rfam family: Bacterial small subunit ribosomal RNA
Source: RNAcentral
CCUACGGGAGGCAGCAGUAGGGAAUCUUCCGCAAUGGACGAAAGUCUGACGGAGCAACGCCGCGUGAGUGAUGAAGGUCUUCGGAUCGUAAAACUCUGUUGUUAGGGAAGAACAAGUGCCGUUCGAAAGGGCGGCACCUUGACGGUACCUAACGAGAAAGCCACGGCUAACUACGUGCCAGCAGCCGCGGUAAU